AUACUACCUUUGAUUUCUCCCCCAAAAAAACCUUACAAAAAAAAUAAAUAAGAAUAAAUAAAUAACUACCACUUUCCCUGGGUAAAGAUCUAAAGAUCUUAGAAAUGUUGGCACUAGUAGUGCACACAAGUGGGUCUUUGUCCUCAACUCCCUGCCAGACUGCUAACUAGUUUUCUGGUCAAGGAGCCCUCAUCCCCAGGCUGCACCACUGGACCCGCAAGCCUUCCUGAUUCUAAACAGCACCCUUCCAUCUGAUGGUCUCAGGCCAAGUGCCCUCACCCCCACACCUUUUCCUCCACCAUCUCCGCAGCCUUCGAGACCCAAAAGCACAUUGGCACUAAAAAUAUCAAGUGACUAGGGCAGCAGCCUGACCUGGGAAAGAAAAGCCCCAGGAAAACAAGCCAUGCCCUUCCCCAAGCAAGGCCAUCCCCCCCAGGGCGGGCUGCACCACUGACACAGGAAGGGAGGGAGAAAAGGACCAGCCCCUCCCCUGGGCAAAUAUUCAGGGAACUCACUUUUUAAGCCUAAAAACACAGUGUUUCCCCUUCCAUUAAUCAUUCCCACACUUAAGAUAACUAUGUUCCUAAAUGAAAAAGAAAAAUCAUUUUCCAACUGAAAAUGCAGAAGGCAAGCCCUGUUCACAUGCGGUCUUUUGCAGAGCCCUUGAGGGGCUGAAUUUGGGAAGAGUUUGAGCCACUGAAGGAAAGGAGCGCAAUUAAAUAAGAACCUUCGUAAAAGCCCUUGGCAACUCAGAAAGGGAAACAAGGGUUUCUCCUCCUCCCUACUCCUCCCCCCCCCUUUUUUUUAAUAACUGAGUCAUGCGAAGGAAAUUUCAGACACUGGCGUGAACAGAGGUGGGACUUUACAGAGAUCUGCCAGCUGUUUCCUUAAAUAAUGCAAAUCUCCUUACCACCUGGCAACACUUCAAACAACUGUCUUCAGUCAUUACUUAGGGAAAAAGACAACAAGUCAUGUGAAGGGGGGGAUGUGAAUUCCAAAAUCAAUCCCAGUAAGACAGGAAUGACCCACCCUGCUCCCAAAAUUAAACUCUAAAAAAGUAAAUUGCACAACACUGUAAGUCAAUAUACUGCAAUAAAAUUCAAUUUAAAAAAUAAAUAACUUUCCACGUCAGAAUAUUAAUUUCCCAAGCAAGCAUUUAUCCUCAAUUAAAAAGACUUCGCAAACAUUUGAAAAAAAAGGAUGUGUCAGGAAUUCAAAUUCUACAUUUACCAUGGGUGUGGCCCUCAAUUUACAUUCUUAGAUUCAUGAAGUUUUGUCUUUUUAAAAGCUCAUGUUUUGCAAUCAUCCUGGCUAUUUUCCCAGGAGGAAAAAUAAAAUCAGUGGAAUAAGGAAGAAAGCUUAAAAUUUGCAAAUCAUCCUUGGUAUCUUAACCACUGAAGGUCCCUUGUUUGGGGGGAUAUAUGCUCUCAUACCAAAGUAGUCAAAAUUUCAAUAGGUCUAUUACAAACCAGAAGCCUUUGGUGAGGCUGCUAUAAGGGGCACUAUAAUAAAUCUUCUGGGAGUUCCUUUUGUGCAUCGGAAAAGAAUCUAACCAGGAACCAUGACGUUUCAGGUUCGAUCCCUGGCCUCACUCCGUGGGUUAAGGAUCCAGCGUUGCCAUGAGUUGUGGCGUAGGUCACAGACUCAGCUUGAUCUGAUGUGGCUGUGGCUAUGGUGUAGGCCAGUGGCUAUAGCUCCGAUUCGACCCCCUAGCCUGGGAACCUCCAUAUGUCACAGGUUCAGCCCUAAAAAAGCAAAAAAUAAAUAAAUAAAUCUUCAGCGCUCCAAAAUUUUUUCGGGGGGCGGGGCAGUCACCCAAAAUGAAAGGAGGUGGGAAGAGACAUGGACAGAGGUUUCCACCCUUCACCUUGACAAAACGUCUUAUUUUUAAAGUAACUUAGAAAGUAUUUAAUCACUAAUAAUUAGAUUUCAAGUUCUAUGGGCAUGAGAUCAUUUCGUCAUUACUGUUAUUGGCUCCCACCAGGCACGGCACAAGGCAAGGCGCACAGUGUGUCCAUGUGUGAACACACAGAUGUUCAAACUCGUCAUACGGACCAAAGAGAAAAUGAUGCACCAGUAGUUUGAUAGGCAUCUAAUGCCUCCUGGAAGGAAAUCGGUGACCGGGAAACAAGAGGGGGUGGGAGGGAAGUGUCUUCAGAAUCAGCUUAGAGUGACUUUUAAUCUGCACAUCCCCAGAGUUCUGUUGUGGCACAGCAGAAACAAAUCCAACUAGGAACCAAGAGGUUUGUCUCAUUGUUUCUGAGGGAUGUGCCUUAUCUCAGCUGUAUGCGUGGCAGGUGAAGGCUAAUGAUUGACAGCUUCGCUGUACAGCCUUGGCAGCUCCUUUAGGAUGAGGGGAGGGUCUGUAUCACCUGAAAUCUGAGGGAUGGGGGUGGAGACUGGGGUUCACCAGCUUUUAUAGACCUUCAUCUAAUGCCCGUCUUUUCAGCUCCAUAACCUGCGGCCACUGCUGCCAGCCCUGGGGCCUCCAAAUCCUGGACCCUUCUGGGGUCCUGGGGGCUAACUGACCCACUUCUCACUGCCAUCCCUCUUUCAGACCUUAGAGCCCAGCUACUUCUGCCCUACUCCCUCCAAAAAUCUGGUGAUGGCUCUUAGCUGCUGUGGUCUCUCCUGUUCUCCCACCUUUGUGGGGUUGGUAUCCUUCUUAUUCUUUGCUUUCCCCUUGUAGAGGUGUUCUGAAGGACUAGAGAGAUUUGUGAGUUUGAUCUACCAUGUUUCACCAAGUCACCGUGACUACUUUACUCGUAUGUCUCCCCCGCCAGAUCCCAAAAUCCAAAAGAACAGGGAUCACACAAACCUUAUUGACGUUAUGCCCCCAAACCUCGCACAGUCCAGAUGCAUGGGAGAUAUUUUCCUAUGUGUUGAAUGAAUGAAUAAUGCUAAAAGCAUAAAGAUCACAGAACCUGAAGCUUUCAGAGGCUCUGCAGACUUCUAGGUUAGCCUCUUUUCUGGCUCUGGGUCUCUCCAUCUUCAAGUAGGACCCAUACCUAAACCGUCAGAUUAAUCAUCGAAUCCCCUUUUCAAAAAAUCCCUAGAGCAGUGGCUUUCACACUUUUCUGACUCUUACCUAGAGUGCAGAAUCCAUUUGCCACGACAAUUCACUACACACUCACAUGGAGCUGACAAAAAUCACUUUUACAAAGUACUUACCCUCCCCACAUGGGCUGCUCUCCAAUGUCGGCAGCUCUAUUUAGUUCAGCUCUUAAAAGCCCUAGCGAUGAGUCACUAAAUUGAUUUCACAACCUAUCAAUGGAUCAUGAUCUACAGUUUGAAAAACAUCGUUAUUCAGCCCUUCAAGUCUCAGUUUGGACAUCACGUCCUCAGGGGAAGCCUCCCUUGCCUCCCACAAUGAGGGCUGCAUAUCCCACAGUAUCUGAUCUUUCUACACUAUUCUGUGAUGUAAUGGCCAGAAUGGGUGGGAGAGGAAGGAGACUUAAGAAAUCUCGGACAACUGAACAGGUGUGUCUAUACAAAAUCUUGCACACACAUGUUCAUAGCAGCAUUAUUUACAAUGGUCAAAAAGUGGAAGCAACCCAAAUGUCCACCAUGGAUGAAUGGACAUACAAAAUGGGGCCUAUCCAUAUAGUGGAAUGGUACUCAGCCAUACAAAAUGGGGCCUAUCCAUAUAGUGGAAUAGUACUCAGCCAUAAAAAGGGAUGAAGUGCUAAUGUAAGCUACAGCGGGGAUGAACCUUGAAAACAGUACAUUAAAUGAAAUAGACAUAAAAAAGAAUGUAUGGUUCUUUUUAUUUGAAAUAUUCAAAACAGGCCAAUUCAUAGAGACAAAAAGUAGAACAGUGGUUGCCAAGGGUGAGGAUAUAGGAAGAUUGGGGUUCGAGCUAAAAGGAAUGGGGUUUCUUCAUUGGGUGAUAAAAGGACUCCAAAAAAGGAAAGAUGCACAGAGCUGUGAAUAUGCUAAAAAGCACUAAUUAUAUACUUUAAAUGGGUGCACUGCACAGUAUAUGGAUUUUGGGGUGGGAGCCACACCUAUGGCAUGAGGAAGUUCUCAGGCCAGGGACUGAACCUGAGCCACACCAGUUGAUAAUGUCAAAUCAUUAACUGCUAGGCCACCAGGGAACUCCUGGAUUUUUAAUAAAGAAGCUUAAAAAUAACAGAGAUGGGGGGGGCAGGUGUUGCACAGGGGCCUGGGAAGUGGCCUAAAUUACAAGAGGCAGGGGAGAACCUUCCAGCACAAGGCCAGAUGCAUGGCAGAAGCUCCCUGAGUGUUUAGUGAAUUAAUAAUUGACUCCAUGACAAGGAUUGGCUGGGCUUUCUCGUCAGGUAGCUGCCUCCACCUUGGGUCAGCCUGAGGCCAACCAGGAGAAGGAGGAAAUGGCUUCAUUUUUAUUAAAUGGCCUUCCACUUUCACUUACACGAUAAUCCAGAUGUCAAUACCCUGGAGAAUAACAACCUGAAGGCUUUUCUAAAGAGAGAAAAACAUUAUUUUGUACUGUUCCAGUGUUCCAAAAAGAAUACGUUGACCAAAAGUAUAAUAGCCUGCCCUGCGGGUCCUCCCCUAAAGUCCUGCUAAUAACAGCUUUCUCAGCCACAGUGAGAAAGGCUGGUUGAAAACUGCUCUGCUCAGACUUAUGUCAUGCUCUGCAGUGGACCACAACCUCAAACUGCCAAUGUCAAGCUUAAUUCCUAUAAAAUUAUAGUUUGGGCUCUGCUACAGCAGCCAGCAGUUAACCACCCAGAGACCAGAAAUAAAAGGCUCAGGGAAACUAAAAUCACAAAAGCAGGGCUUCUGUGCUACUGCUACUUUUGUUAAUAAAAAUAUAAUUUUCACAUCCAUGUUAAAUACAUAGCUUAAUCCACAGUCUUUUUUUUUUUUUUUUUUUUUUUUUUUAGCCUAAGCAUAACUAGAUGGCGACCUCAUUGCAGGUCUUAUCAGUGUCUAAACACCGAAAUCCACAGCCACCUGCCCUGACAACUCACGCUUGCUAUAAAUAAGUGGGUAACAUUCUGCCCUGAGAGGUGAAAAUUCUGGUUGUCUAUUAAAAGUAAAACCAACAACCACAAAAACCCAUUGUUGGCCCAUUCUCCCAUCUUAGAAAAGACUUUCAACUUCAGAUUUAGAUGCCUACAGAGUGGCCCAAAGAAAAGCAGUGUCUAAACAAAAUUUAAGAACCAACGUGACAUAGAAGUAUCCCCAAACUCUCUUCCCACACUCUUUCAGUGCUAAGUGGAAGCUGUUCGCCAAUAUCUAAACACUUUUGAUUUACCCAUGAAUUUCUUUUUGACAUUUGAGACCAUGUUGUACAUCUAAUCAAUGUAUCAACAAAACAAGUACUGCUAUAUAAAGCACAAAAAAAGGUGGCCACAGAUAGAAAACUGUAUAUCAGGUCAAGGAAAUUCUAAUGAACUGGAGAAUAUAGACAGGUACCCAAACAAGGACGGAAGAUAAAUUCAAGAUGAAUAAAUUCUAUGACAUAAUAUAAGUAUAUAAUUAAAGAGUUAAGACACACUCGUUCACUUUUCUAAAGUUUCAAAUGACAGUUCCCAUCAUGGCUCAGCAGUAAUGAAUCAACUAGUAUCCAUGAGGACCUAGGUUUGAUCCCUGGCCCGCCUCAGUGGGUGAAGGACCCAGCAUUUCUUUUUCUCACGUUCUUCCUCCAUCA
RNAcentral lists this long non-coding RNA (5641 nucleotides) under Sus scrofa (pig). RNAcentral's name for it is "lncRNA (ENSSSCG00040073650.1)". Lineage: Eukaryota; Metazoa; Chordata; Mammalia; Artiodactyla; Suidae. The record is from RNAcentral.